Lutra lutra (Eurasian river otter) is the source of this 2105-nucleotide long non-coding RNA. RefSeq lists it as uncharacterized. The record is from RefSeq and is a predicted model, not a curated record. Lineage: Eukaryota; Metazoa; Chordata; Mammalia; Carnivora; Mustelidae. The transcript has 4 exons.
UCAGUGGCCUAGGCUGUAUUCAGUGGGGGUGGGGCGGAGGGGAGGAAUUUCAAGGUCCUGGGCGCAUAAAUGAGAACACAGGAAUGAAUCGAAACUGGCGUGAGCGCUGGAGACUUCCCGCUCUGUAAUGGGAGACAGAUUAAAUCAUACAUGGAAAGGGCCCAGGUCCGGUUGGACCUUGAAGCACGGCCAAGAGCACUCCAAGCAGAGGGAAAGGUCUAGACGGUCUCGCAUUCCGAGUUCCCCCGGGGUGGAAGGCCUCAUCCCUGUGGCCAUUUUCUCAGCACUUGUGCCAGGUGGAACUGUUUCCAGGCUGCCACAGGCUGGUUGAAAACACCAGUCACUUAAGUCGAGAGCCCUGUAUAAUGAUUCUCCAGAGACUGUGAGUGUUUCCCAAAGACACACAUGGCAGUCAGGCCGUCUGCAUUCUGUUAGUCAGUGUCCCUCUUUAGCAUCUUCAUCUCAGAUGCAGAAAAUGAGUCCAAAAGAGAAGGUUCUUAUAGAAGUCCACUAGCCAGGAAGCAGCAGGGCCUGGAUUCAAAUGCAGGCCCGUCUCACCACAGAGAAGCCCACAUUUUUCCCCCUGACAACCGGCAGCCUGCCUAGUGGUAUUCCCCUCAGCAUAAAAGCUCAAGAUGGGUCCACAGUCUGGUGUUGAUGUACAUUGUAGGGCUUCCUUGGUGAACCAUAAUGAAGAAGUGGGUAAACGCUGGUGACGUUUGUUGUAAGUGGAUGGGGCAAGAGGGAGAGGACAGUGGCGGGCAGCUACAGCAAGGAAUGUUGGGGAAGAGGAGUCCCUGGCAGGAGCAGCUGUGAUACUGUGAUUUUUUUUUUAAGAUUUUAUUUUAUUUUAAGAUUUCUAGUUAUUUAUUGGUCAGAGAGAGAGCAGAAGCACCGAGAGCUACAGGCAGAACAGGCAGAGCAGGCAGAGGGAGAAGCAGGCUCCCUGUUGAGCAAGGAGCCCCACGUGGCCCUUGAUCCCAGGACCCUGGGAUCAUGACCUGAGCCGAAGGCCCUUAACUGACUGAGCCACGGAGGCGUCCGGAUACUGUGAUUUGUUUCAUGUAUUUGGUAUGCAUCCCAUCUCUGGCUCAUAGUACCUAAAACCAUUGGAAUUUUCUGUGGUGAGAGCGGUAGCUGUGUCUUUUGUGAUGUUAAUGAGGUGGCUUUUGGAAAGUACCUAGGUAACCGAGGGCUGGGGGCUGAUUGCCAGGGACCCAACCUUGUGAUUAGAGAUUAGAAUAUCCGGUCUGACCCUUGGCCUUUUGGGGGCAGGGAGAGGGGUGUUGGAGGUUGAAUCAGUUGCCAGUGGCCAGUGAUUUCAUUAAUGAUGACCAUGUAAAUGAAGCCUCCAUCAAAGGACAACCACCCCCACCCCCCGCCAAAACCAACAAGGACAGGAUUGUGAGAGCUUGCAGGUUGGUGGACACGUGGAGAUGUGGGGAGAGUGGUGCCCCUGGAGAGGGCGUGGUAGCUUCCACCCUUCCCCAUACCUUGCCUGGGUGUCUCUUCCCUCUGGCUCUUCCUAAGUUUUAUCCUGGCUUAUAAUAAUUAUUAAUAUAUGAUAUAUGAGGAAUCCGGUAAGUAAAAUGUUUCUCUGAGUUCUGAGAGCUGCUGUAGCAAAUUAAUUCAACCCAAGGGGGCAUUUGUUGGAACCUGCGAUCUGUAGCUGGUUGGUCAGAAGCACAGGUGUCAACCUGGACUUGCCACUGGCGUCUGAAGAUUCAAGGGGGUGCAGUCCUGUAGGACUGAGCUCUUCACCUGUGGACUUGAACUCUGUCUCCAUGUGGACAGUGUAGAACUGAGUUGAAGUGUAGGACACCCAGCCGACGGCUGAGAAUUGCUUGGUGUGUGAGGGGGAAACCCACACACUAGAAUUGGGUGCAGAAUCAUUAGCAGCCAGGAUGGGGUUGGGGGAGACUGGAAGAGGGGUGGGGCUGGACCCUAAACAGCCUGAGACCUGUGGGUAUAACACCAUGCGAUACUAUUCGGCAGUGAAAAAGUGACCAGCCUGGAUGGAGCUGGUGGCCACUGUGCGGAGCCCAAGAAGCCAGUACACACCAGCAUGUAGAGCAGGGUUCAGAGUUGGGCACAAGAGGUCAGGA